RNAcentral lists this unclassified non-coding RNA (240 nucleotides) under soil metagenome. RNAcentral describes it as "partial contains 5.8S ribosomal RNA, internal transcribed spacer 2, and large subunit ribosomal RNA". The record is from RNAcentral.
AACCAUAGAAACCUGCGGAGUACCUGCGGAGGGAUCAUUAUAGUAUAUGGAAUCUCCAUUCUAUAAACCCACUCUGCGUAUCUUGUAACUGUUGCUUCCAUGGGACUUGGUUCCGCCACACCGGCUUCACGGCUGGUGAGCGCCCAUGGAAGGAGAAACAAAACUCUUCUUUGAAAUGUAGUCAGUCUGAACAAGCUUUUAUAAACGUUAAAACUUUUAGCAACGGAUCUCAGAUCGGAA